This 439-nucleotide ribosomal RNA is filed under the name uncultured bacterium. RNAcentral describes it as "partial 16S ribosomal RNA". It matches the Rfam family "Bacterial small subunit ribosomal RNA", at positions 339 to 795 of the family's 1533-position model. The record is from RNAcentral.
CUACGGGCCGCUCCAGUGGGGAAUAUUGCACAAUGGACGAAAGUCUGAUGCAGCAACGCCGCGUGGAGGAUGACACAUUUCGGUGCGUAAACUCCUUUUAUAUAGGAAGAUAAUGACGGUACUAUAUGAAUAAGCACCGGCUAACUCCGUGCCAGCAGCCGCGGUAAUACGGAGGGCGCAAGCGUUACUCGGAAUCACUGGGCGUAAAGAGCGUGUAGGCGGAUUAAAAAGUCAGAAGUGAAAUCCUAUAGCUUAACUAUAGAACUGCUUCUGAAACUCCUAAUCUAGAAUAUGGGAGAGGUAGAUGGAAUUUCUGGUGUAGGGGUAAAAUCCGUAGAGAUCAGAAGGAAUACCGAUUGCGAAGGCGAUCUACUAGAACAUUAUUGACGCUGAGACGCGAAAGCGUGGGGAGCAAACAGGAUUAGAUACCCUCGUAGUC